UGAGCAAUCUGCCCUUCNCAUCGGAAUAAGCGUUGGAAACGACGUCUAAUGCCGAAUACGACCUCCUUUCGCAUGAUCGGAGGUGGAAAGCUCCGGCGGAGAAGGAUGAGCUCGCGGCCUAUCAGCUAGUUGGUGUGGGUAAUGGCCCACCAAGGCGACGACGGGUAGCCGGCCUGAGAGGGUGACCGGCCACACUGGGACUGAGACACGGCCCAGACCCUCGGACGG
This 228-nucleotide ribosomal RNA is filed under the name uncultured bacterium. Its description in RNAcentral is "partial 16S ribosomal RNA". It matches the Rfam family "Bacterial small subunit ribosomal RNA", at positions 118 to 346 of the family's 1533-position model. The record is from RNAcentral.